CCAGGCGCCGAUCUAACCUGUAAGUCGUACGGUGAAGCCCAACAUUGCUGGGUGGAUCAUUGGCGAACGGGUGAGUAACACGUGAGUAACCUGCCCCUGACUCUGGGAUAAGCCUUGGAAACGAGGUCUAAUACCGGAUAUGUGACGUUCAGGCAUCUGAUGCGUCUGGAAAGAUUUAUCGGUCAGGGAUGGACUCGCGGCCUAUCAGCUUGUUGGUGGGGUAACGGCCCACCAAGGCGACGACGGGUAGCCGGCCUGAGAGGGCGACCGGCCACACUGGGACUGAGACACGGCCCAGACUCCUACGGGAGGCAGCAGUGGGGAAUAUUGCACAAUGGGCGCAAGCCUGAUGCAGCGACGCCGCGUGAGGGAUGAAGGCCUUCGGGUUGUAAACCUCUUUCAGCAGGGAAGAAGCGCAAGUGACGGUACCUGCAGAAGAAGCGCCGGCUAACUACGUGCCAGCAGCCGCGGUAAUACGUAGGGCGCAAGCGUUGUCCGGAAUUAUUGGGCGUAAAGAGCUCGUACGCGGUCUGUCGCGUCUGCUGUGAAAACUCGAGGCUCAACCUCGGGCUUGCAGUGGGUACGGGCAGACUAGAGUGCGGUAGGGGAGACUGGAAUUCCUGGUGUAGCGGUGGAAUGCGCAGAUAUCACGAGGAACACCGAUGGCGAACGCAGGUCUCUGGGCCGCAACUGACGCUGAGGAGCGAAAGCAUGGGGAGCGAACAGGAUUAGAUACCCUGGUAGUCCAUGCCGUAAACGUUGGGCACUAUGUGUGGGGCUCAUUCCACGAGUUCCGAUGCCGCACAAACGCAUUAAGUGCCCCGCCUGGGGAGUACGGCCGCAAGGCUAAAACUCAAGAAAUUGACUGGGGCCCGCACAAGCGGCGGAGCAUGCGUAUUAAUUCGAUGCAACGCGAAGAACCUUACCAUUGCCUUGACAUACACCGAGAAACUUUCCAGAGACUGCUUGCCCCGUCAUGCUCGUGUACAGGUGGUGCAUGUUGUACGUCAGCUCGUGUCGUGAGACUGGUCGGCUUAGUCCCGCAACGUAGCGCUAGCCUUCGUUCAAUGUUGCCAGCUGGUUUCAUGCGGAGGACCUCGUAAG
Molecule: ribosomal RNA, 1104 nt
Filed under: Cellulomonas pakistanensis
Lineage: Bacteria; Bacillati; Actinomycetota; Actinomycetes; Micrococcales; Cellulomonadaceae
Description: bacterial SSU rRNA
Rfam family: Bacterial small subunit ribosomal RNA
Source: RNAcentral